Molecule: transfer RNA, 70 nt
Filed under: Loxodonta africana (African savanna elephant)
Lineage: Eukaryota; Metazoa; Chordata; Mammalia; Proboscidea; Elephantidae
Rfam family: tRNA
About the family: Transfer RNA (tRNA) molecules are approximately 80 nucleotides in length.
Source: Rfam by way of RNAcentral
GCAUUGGUUGUUCAGUGAUAGAAUUCUCAGCUCCAUGCAGGAGACCUGGGUUCAAUUCCUGGCCAAUGCA